CCUACGGGUGGCUGCAGUGGGGGAUAUUGCACAAUGGGGGAAACCCUGAUGCAGCGACGCCGCGUGUGGGAAGACGGUCCUCUGGAUUGUAAACCACUGUCCCCAGGGACGAAGAUGACGGUACCUGGGGAGGAAGCUCCGGCUAACUACGUGCCAGCAGCCGCGGUAAUACGUAGGGAGCAAGCGUUGUCCGGAAUUACUGGGUGUAAAGGGAGCGUAGGCGGAAUGGCAAGUUGGGUGUUAAAUCUACCGGCUCAACUGGUAGUCGCACUCAAAACUGCUAUUCUUGAGGGAAGUAGAGGCAGGCGGAAUUCCUAGUGUAGCGGUGAAAUGCGUAGAUAUUAGGAGGAACACCAGUGGCGAAGGCGGCCUGCUGGGCUUUUACUGACGCUGAGGCUCGAAAGUGUGGAGAGCAAACAGGAUUAGAUACCCUAGUAGUC
This 440-nucleotide ribosomal RNA is filed under the name uncultured bacterium. Its description in RNAcentral is "partial 16S ribosomal RNA". It matches the Rfam family "Bacterial small subunit ribosomal RNA", at positions 338 to 795 of the family's 1533-position model. The record is from RNAcentral.